This 221-nucleotide ribosomal RNA is filed under the name uncultured bacterium. RNAcentral describes it as "partial 16S ribosomal RNA". It matches the Rfam family "Bacterial small subunit ribosomal RNA", at positions 524 to 746 of the family's 1533-position model. The record is from RNAcentral.
UACGAAGGGGGCUAGCGUUGUUCGGAAUUACUGGGCGUAAAGCGCACGUAGGCGGGUAUUUAAGUCAGGGGUGAAAUCCCAGAGCUCAACUCUGGAACUGCCUUUGAUACUGGGUACCUAGAGUAUGGAAGAGGUGAGUGGAAUUCCGAGUGUAGAGGUGAAAUUCGUAGAUAUCGGAGGAACACCAGUGGCGAAGGCGCUCACUGGUCCAUUACUGACGC